AUGAAGAAUGUGGGUCUUCUCAUAGCUAGAGAAAGGGGGUCUUUUCUCAGAGCCAGAGAAAGGGGGUCUUUUCAGCGCUGGAGAAAGGAGAAUGUAGGUCUUCUAAUAGCUGGAGAAAACAGGUCCUUUCAGAGCUGUAGAAAGGAGAAUGUAGGUCUUCUAAUAGCUGGAGAAAACAGGUCCUCUCAGCGCUGGAAAAAGGAGAAAGCAGGCGGGCAGCAGUCCCGAUACUGGGAAACGCCAGGAAUAUAUGCUAGUUACAAUAUAAAUUGCGAAUGGCUCCACGUGGAUCCUCAGAAAUGAACUUCCACAACAAUACUGCGAAAUAGGUACCAGUCUUCGCUUGUGGGUCUGCAAGAAGCACAAUUCAGGUUUGAAACAUUUUCUUGGAUGGAGGCAGCAACCAUCUCUGUGACUUUGCUAAACAAGCGUGGAGCAUGUGGGGCUGAAGGGUGACCAGGUUUCCAAACCAAGUGGAGAACACGGUCAGGUGACUUGACCUGGGAGACUUGGCUGAAACCUUUAGUCCAGAACUCUGGGAGAUAGGGAGCGUGCAACUACACUAUCGAAUUAACGCUAUGGCUCAACGCCAUGGAAUCCUGGGAUCUGUAGUUUGGUGAGGCAGAGAAAGCUAAAGACCUUGGAAAACCGUACCUCCCAUGGUUCCAUAGUAUUGAGCCAUGGCUGUUCAAGUUGUGUUGAGCUGCAUUAAUUCAACAGUGUUUUCCCUCCGAGAUGUUCCAGACAUAGUGCUGCAUCUCUGCCUCCUAUAUGGGACUAGUCUUUUGUCAUUUCCUCUUUAAGGUAAGGGGAAAAUAAGAGAUAAAUGCACAUUAUCAUGACUGUCAGGAAUACAGAUUGUCAAGGUGUUUGCUGCAAAGUCCAUAUAGCUGAGCCGCAGAAUAGGUUUGUAUGCUCUCCAUAAAAAGCAGAGACUCUCUUGAAAUUGCUCUCGACUCUCAAAGAAAAGCAAAAUCCACUGGCAUGUAUCUGUUUCGGUCGUCUGCAAGCAAUGAUCUAUGCGAACAAGGCUCCAAGCUAGGCCAAAUGGGUCCAAAAGGGUCUAUGAGGAGUCACAUUGAAACAGACCCGGGAAACAAAAGGUCACGGAGUCUCUUCUCCAUUUCCAUCUCUAAAAAUACACAACAAAACUCAGCGGCAUUUCACAGUCCAUGAAGGAAAGCUCGACCCACCACAAUCCAUGGUCUGGA
Molecule: long non-coding RNA, 1211 nt
Filed under: Anolis carolinensis (green anole)
Lineage: Eukaryota; Metazoa; Chordata; Lepidosauria; Squamata; Anolidae
Description: lncRNA (ENSACAG00000044763.1)
Source: RNAcentral